This 406-nucleotide ribosomal RNA is filed under the name uncultured bacterium. Its description in RNAcentral is "partial 16S ribosomal RNA". It matches the Rfam family "Bacterial small subunit ribosomal RNA", at positions 30 to 526 of the family's 1533-position model. The record is from RNAcentral.
AUUGAACGCUGGCGGCAGGCCUAACACAUGCAAGUCGAACGAGUGGCGGACGGGUGAGUAAUGUCUGGGAAACUGCCCGAUGGAGGGGGAUAACCACUGGAAACGGGAGCUAAUACCGUAUACCAUCGUAUGUGCCCAGAUGGGAUUAUCUAGUGGGUGGGGUAACGGCUCACCUAGGCGACGAUCCCUAGCUGGUCUGAGAGGAUGACCAGCCACACUGGAACUGAGACACGGUCCAGACUCCUACGGGAGGCAGCAGUGGGGAAUAUUGCACAAUGGGCGCAAGCCUGAUGCAGCCAUGCCGCGUGUAUGAAGAAGGCCUUCGGGUUGUAAAGUACUUUCAGCGAGGAGGCGUUACUCGCAGAAGAAGCACCGGCUAACUCCGUGCCAGCCGCCGCGGUAAUAC